GAUGCCCUUAGAUGUCCUGGGCCGCACGCGCGUUACACUGACAGAGCCAGCGAGUAUUUCCUUGACCGGAAGGUCCGGGUAAUCUUGUUAAACUCUGUCGUGCUGGGGAUAGAGCAUUGCAAUUAUUGCUCUUCAACGAGGAAUCCCUAGUAAGCGCAAGUCAUCAGCUUGCGUUGAUUACGUCCCUGCCCUUUGUACACACCGCCCGUCGCUACUACCGAUUGAAUGGCUCAGUGAGACCUCCGGACUGGCCCAGAGAGGUGGGCAACUACCACUCAGGGCCGGAAAGUUGUUCAAACUCGGUCAUUUAGAGGAAG
This 317-nucleotide ribosomal RNA is filed under the name Lomentospora prolificans. Its description in RNAcentral is "Scedosporium prolificans Eukaryotic small subunit ribosomal RNA". It matches the Rfam family "Eukaryotic small subunit ribosomal RNA", at positions 1466 to 1782 of the family's 1831-position model. The record is from Rfam by way of RNAcentral. Lineage: Eukaryota; Fungi; Ascomycota; Sordariomycetes; Microascales; Microascaceae.